UCCCCUUCCCUCCCCCAGCCCUAAGCCACCCCCACCUGUGUCCUGGCCACCUCAGGGCGCCCUGAGAAGACCAGGACAUGCGGCUGCAGUGGCUGCUCUUUUGGCUCCUCGUGCUGGGGUUUUGCAGCCAUUAGUCCAGCCACAUGAGUAGACAGUGGACCUGCGGGGUUCCUUCCUUUUCACUGGGCUGUCACGGGGCGUGAAAUGACACAGCUCACACCUGUAAUCCCAGCAUUUUGGGGCCUAACGUGGGCAGAUCGCUUGAGUCCAGGAAUUCGAGACCAGCCUGGGCAUCAUAGCAAAACCUCAUCUCUACAAAAAAAUCAAACAAUUAGACCUGGCAGCAAGCGCCUGUAGUCCUAGCUACUGGAGAGGCUGAGGUGGGACAAUCGCUUGGCCCCAGGAGGUGAGGGUUGCAGUGAGCCAGGAUCGCCCCCACUGCACUCCAGCCUUGUCGACAGAGUAAGACCUUGUCUCAUACAAAACAAAGUGAAAUGUCAUUUGAGUUCUGUGUCAUCUGGUUUGAUGACUUUCUAGGAACUUCUGAGUCAUCCGUGUCUUCUGCUCUUAGGAGCUGCCUCCAGGGAGUCCCUUUCCAAUCAGAGUGAUGGGAGCCCCAGAAGCCCAUCAGAUGGGAGAGAAAAGGGCUGCACCCUGCUGGGAUGUUUGCAAUGCGGAGUCACCAGGAGUGACAUGAUCAGGAUGUGAAUGAGGACUCUAUUGUCCUUUGUUCUGUAAAAUGUGUCCUGUGCAGAUCGUUGAUUUACCCAAAGCAGAAAGGGUCUUAUAGUCCUUUUGUUUGUCCAAAUAGAAAGAAAUCACAGAUUUCUCCUUUGAAAGGUUUCAGCCUCACAUUAUAAAACCUCUCCACUACGCACAGGAGAGGGCACCUUAUAGAGAUGAGGGUAUUUGUUCUGAGUGGCAUGCACCAGAUUCUCAGAGAGGGAGCUGGAAAAGUCCAGUGAUGGGAGCAACCGCUGCAUCGAGGCAGAAUCGCCCCCAUGAGCGCCUCCAAUUCCAAUCAAAGAAGAGUCUCUUGAUUCUUUUGAGUCUAUGAAGGAGGAAAUGUCUUGAUAAUCUUGGUUGGAAUGUUCUUCCCUUUAUCUGGCUGCAUUUUCAUAGAUCAGUUACACUCUCUUUCCCUACCUCACCUUUGAAGACUUGGAUACAUUUUCCUCUUUGCAUUUUCCACAUCCACCCUUGCUCAUGGCCGUCGACUAUCAGAACCUAAGCUUUUCCUGGCCCCAUUGGACCUAAUCUGGGUAGGAGCCCACUACUGAUAACCUGCAUCCAGAUAAUUGUCAGAUGUGACAAGAGUGCCCAAGAUGGGGGGAUAUUUUCCUGGUCAGUGACAAGAUGACCUUUGUCCUUCUUGUGCAUUUGAUCCACAUCUUUAAUUAACCAUUGUGCCCAGAGCUCCUGCUUCCUUUCAGAUGGAGGCUGCUCAGCGACAGUGCAUCUCUCCCAGGAGCCCAGGCUGCACUCACCUCCACUGUGAGGCUGAAGACAAAAGUGCCACGGAGCUCAGAGGCUGCUUUCUAGCGAGGUUUGAUUUGCACAAAACUGAGUCUUGGUAUGUGGAUUGGUCUUAGUUGCAUUUUGAAUUUAUUUUCUCCCCCAAUACUUGUAAAUCCAGUGUUCGUAAAAUAAUAUGUGUGCCUUGUGUGGUGGUGGCCAUACAUUGCAGGAAGUUUGUAUUGCCUUCCAUGUGGAUUUCCAAGGGUGCUCCUGAGUGCUUCAGGUGCAAUGCUCUAAAAUAUGAAGGUGAACUCUUGUUAGUGGUUACUUGGUAUCGUGUUUUUAACUGACCUCAAUUCUCACAGUUUCAAUCAUAAUUCCAAGGAGACUAUGUUAUGCAAAUCUGUAUGGACUUUGAAAAUCUGACAUGAAGUGCCCCGUUUCAGCAGAGUGUGGACAUGUUUUUGGAUAUAUUUCAAAGAAUAUAAUAAAAAUUUUUAAACAUAUAAAAGAAGACCUUGGCUUCCUGACCAUUGUCAUCGAUGUUGUGCCUGACCAUUUUCAUCCUGGGCCUGACUUUCCUGGAAUUCCCCGGAUGCUUGUUAUUAUUGUUGUUUCCCUGGGAAUUUGUUCACUUGCCAUUUUCUUCUGGAAAACUAGCCUUGGUG
This is a long non-coding RNA of Pongo pygmaeus (Bornean orangutan), 2126 nucleotides long. RefSeq lists it as uncharacterized. The transcript has 3 exons. Lineage: Eukaryota; Metazoa; Chordata; Mammalia; Primates; Hominidae. The record is from RefSeq and is a predicted model, not a curated record.